GAAGCCGGGAGGAAGCAGAGACAGGACACCUGACCCAAACUGACCAAAGAGGGACUACUAGUAUUUCAAAUCAAGAAAAAUGUAUACCUGUAAGGGAUGAAAAUACUAAGAAAACAUCUUUGUUUUAAGGAACUAGAUGGACUUUAGCUGUGGAAAUCUUCAGGACAAGGGAAGUUUUCCUUCUCAGUCCACCAGACACAAAACCCAGAGGACAUUCUGCACUAGAGGAGACCUUGCUUCUCUACCCAAUUAAAGCCAGGCUGCUGCAACCUCCUACCCUUUGUGCGGCCAGAAGAGAGACUGAGGGUGUAUUCCUAACAAACUCACACAAAUAUACCCAUACACAGAGGACUCUCCAGUAGCUGGUGAAACCCUUGUCUCACCAGUCUUGACCGUGUGCUCACUGCGACCUUUGAUUUUCUCUGCCUUUGCUACCUCCAAAAUAAUAAAAAGACCCACUUCAUAAUGAUGUGAAAAUAACAAAAAAAGGUGUGAGAGUCCUUUUUUUGUGUAAAAACUCAAGAUGAAAAAUCUGACCUUCACUACUGUGUUUAGAUGAGUUAUUUCAUGGAGAGACAACUUUCAUUUUACCUAAGCUUU
Long non-coding RNA from Neopsephotus bourkii (Bourke's parrot), 600 nucleotides. RefSeq lists it as uncharacterized. NCBI's taxonomy places the organism in Eukaryota, Metazoa, Chordata, Aves, Psittaciformes, Psittacidae. The transcript has 3 exons. The record is from RefSeq and is a predicted model, not a curated record.